CUUGCUGCACUAGGUUCAAGUGAGACGCGGUAGUUGCUUUCUGUCUGAACGCCGUGUAUUAAAGUCACAAUAAAAACAAACACACAGAUUGAACGACGUAAAUAUUUGACUUACAUAUGUUCGCACAGUUGUCGUCGUUGUCGUAUUUAUCCGGAGCCUACGUUACCCGCUUUGGCUUAGUGUUGUUUGCGUGUUUGCUCGCCUGCUUGCUUGUUUGGGGCAGGUCUGCUGCAGUGAAGUGAAAACAAGUUUUGCGCCCCAACUUCAACACGUCCGCCAGUUGCUGCUGAGAUUGUGGUUCGUGCCACAACUAUUGACACAAGCACUUUACAAUCAUAUAUUUGCAUUGUUUUUCUUCCGUUCGUCAUUUUGUCUGCGCCGCCGGCUGCUGCAACUGUUUACCUGCCGCUGCCAUUCGGCGACACAACAGUUGACCUCAUUUACUUCGGCCCCCAGUUUGCUGUCGCGCCGCCGGUGUUGCUGUUGGUUUUGUGCAGCCAGUUCCAAGCGGCAGCAACAAGCGUGGCAAGAAAACAGCUGUGGUUGAACAGACGUCCAGUUGUGGCAAGCGGAUUUCGUUGCCAUAGGCUGCCACACACAUAUAUAUACCAACAACAUAGCAACACCACUGCGAGUGCUCUUUGCUGAUACGUGUUUCCUCACCACCCCCCAUUUGACAUCAUUAGGCCGCUGACGCAGAAGUUGCUAGACAACUUUUACUUAAUAACGGUCAAUAUUUUGCGAAUUUAUUGCAACCAUAUUUUUGUUUUCAUUUGUUUUUUUCUUGUGUUCUUAGUUUUAUUUUUCUUUUGCUUUAUUACUUAAAUGCGCGUUAGCUACCGACAACAACUUCGUGGAAUCUUGUUUCACUGUUGCAAAUUGUGUUAUUUGCGCUAUUCUCACAACUUAUUUCGAUACGGCCGGACCGCGUGGAUGUCUGUCUGCCACACAUUAAUGAAAUUACAAUUUUUGUGCAUGUAAAAAAAAAAUUUCAUGUAAAUCUAGAUUUCACCUGCACUCUUAUUUGAAGAAAAGUGAAAUUUUUUUGUUGAAAAAACUUAGUAUUAGUAAUUUCUCAAGUUACUACAUAAUAAAAAAAAAAAAAAAUGUCAUACUAAAAUAAUUUUACGCGCGAAACUGAACGAUUUUUAAUUGAGCAACAACAACGAAAGAUCACAAAAACUAAAUCGGGCUACAUAACUUUGCAUUCACUUGCUUCAUUUUACUUUAACUUCUAUUCUAAUUAGUUAAAGUUUCCUCAACAUUAGCUCCCCAUUAAUGGCGAUAAUAAUAAUAAAUACUUGAUAAAACAAUGGCAACUCGCUGACUUGUGGAAAAACGUGGAAAUCGCUUAAUUGUGGGAAAAUCUGAAACAGAUCACCGUUACCGGCAAACAUACACCGGCGCGUUUGGUUGUCUGCUAGCAUACAAUCGCACUCACUGCUGGAACGCCUAAAAGUAUAUUUGUGUGUGAAUAUUUUAUAUGGCUUAGCGCUUACCAGUUGCUUGUUCACUUUUUGAUAGUCCGCCUACCGUCCGUCUAGUCAUUGACCGCGACUAAAAAGUUAACAGACAUUUGCUCACACAUACACAGACAUAUUUCGUUGGCGUACUUAGUAAAUUACAAAUAUAAUAGCGCUGAAUUGUUGUGAGUAUUAACUUUUUUGCUUUUGAAUGUGUAUAUUGGCUGCUAUUAGAUUCUAAACUAGCCAGCGUCAGCUUUACUGGUUUUUUCACGGUUACUGAUUUUCUAUUGUUUCGUAUGACGGUUGCACACUAAAAGCAUAAUUUAUUAUACGUUGUUAGCUAAACUGUUCAUUGGCUUAUUGUAAAUUUGCUAUAAUCGUCGCUUCAGAUAUGUGAAAAUUAGCAUAAAUGGCAGUUUUUCGAUAUAUUACC
RNAcentral lists this long non-coding RNA (1899 nucleotides) under Bactrocera latifrons. RNAcentral's name for it is "uncharacterized LOC108970187". The record is from RNAcentral. Lineage: Eukaryota; Metazoa; Arthropoda; Insecta; Diptera; Tephritidae.